Bubalus bubalis (water buffalo) is the source of this 323-nucleotide long non-coding RNA. RefSeq lists it as uncharacterized. The record is from RefSeq and is a predicted model, not a curated record. The transcript is spliced from 2 exons. NCBI's taxonomy places the organism in Eukaryota, Metazoa, Chordata, Mammalia, Artiodactyla, Bovidae.
CCCAGGACCACUGCCACCAGCAACUGCUGUAUCCAGAGCAUCAUCACAAGGACCUCACAUUGGAUGUAAUUACUGACCACAGACAGAGGGACUUCACAAAAGGCACAGCUAUGGGUCUAGGCAAAAUGCACUGAUAGUGACCUGGGGCCCAGAGAGGUGCUGCCUUGCUCAGGAUCACACACCUCAUUAAGAGCAGAAAAAAGACAAGAACUCAAACCUCCUGAUUCCUGGCCUGGAGUCUUUAUCCUUACACUACUGUCCUGCCCCACUGACUGUUUUCUGAAUAUUUACUAUUAUUACUUCCUAAUACAAUUGAAAAUGUA